RNAcentral lists this ribosomal RNA (1008 nucleotides) under Fusarium oxysporum f. sp. raphani. RNAcentral's name for it is "eukaryotic LSU rRNA". The stretch from base 475 to 1008 matches the Rfam family "Eukaryotic large subunit ribosomal RNA", at positions 1 to 546 of the family's 3401-position model. Lineage: Eukaryota; Fungi; Ascomycota; Sordariomycetes; Hypocreales; Nectriaceae. The record is from RNAcentral.
UUACCGAGUUUACAACUCCCAAACCCCUGUGAACAUACCACUUGUUGCCUCGGCGGAUCAGCCCGCUCCCGGUAAAACGGGACGGCCCGCCAGAGGACCCCUAAACUCUGUUUCUAUAUGUAACUUCUGAGUAAAACCAUAAAUAAAUCAAAACUUUCAACAACGGAUCUCUUGGUUCUGGCAUCGAUGAAGAACGCAGCAAAAUGCGAUAAGUAAUGUGAAUUGCAGAAUUCAGUGAAUCAUCGAAUCUUUGAACGCACAUUGCGCCCGCCAGUAUUCUGGCGGGCAUGCCUGUUCGAGCGUCAUUUCAACCCUCAAGCCCUCGGGUUUGGUGUUGGGGAUCGGCGAGCCCUUGCGGCAAGCCGGCCCCGAAAUCUAGUGGCGGUCUCGCUGCAGCCUCCAUUGCGUAGUAGUAAAACCCUCGCAACUGGAACGCGGCGCGGCCAAGCCGUUAAACCCCCAACUUCUGAAUGUUGACCUCGGAUCAGGUAGGAAUACCCGCUGAACUUAAGCAUAUCAAUAAGCGGAGGAAAAGAAACCAACAGGGAUUGCCCUAGUAACGGCGAGUGAAGCGGCAACAGCUCAAAUUUGAAAUCUGGCUCUCGGGCCCGAGUUGUAAUUUGUAGAGGAUGCUUUUGAUGCGGUGCCUUCCGAGUUCCCUGGAACGGGACGCCAUAGAGGGUGAGAGCCCCGUCUGGUUGGAUGCCAAAUCUCUGUAAAGCUCCUUCAACGAGUCGAGUAGUUUGGGAAUGCUGCUCUAAAUGGGAGGUAUAUGUCUUCUAAAGCUAAAUACCGGCCAGAGACCGAUAGCGCACAAGUAGAGUGAUCGAAAGAUGAAAAGCACUUUGAAAAGAGAGUUAAAAAGUACGUGAAAUUGUUGAAAGGGAAGCGUUUAUGACCAGACUUGGGCUUGGUUAAUCAUCUGGGGUUCUCCCCAGUGCACUUUUCCAGUCCAGGCCAGCAUCAGUUUUCCCCGGGGGAUAAAGGCGGCGGGAAUGUGGCUCUCUU